UUGCCCGAGGGGGAAUACGGAGCCUAUGAAAUUAAUGAAACUGAUGUGUUUGUUAUUACACACAGAUCGGCCCUUAACCUUGCAUAUCAAAACUUUUCGAAGAUUCCUCAGAAACCCACUUGCUUGUUGGAGCUCACUGGUUAUGAUAUGUUGGAGCUCACUGGGUAUGAUCUUAUUGGGCUUCCGUUGAGCUCUCCUCUUUCCUGCAACAAAGUCAUAUAUGCUCUUCCAAUGUUAACCAUCUUAACGGACAAAGGUACAGGGAUUGUCACCAGUGUUCCUAGUGAUGCACCUGACGAUUAUAUGGCUCUUCAUGAUUUGAAAGCAAAACCUGCUUUUAGGGCAAAGUUCGGUGUGAAGGAUGAGUGGGUACUGCCCUAUGAGGUAGUGCCAAUUAUUAACAUUCCAGAAUUUGGGGAUAAGGCUGCUGAAAAAGUCUGCUUGGAUCUGAAGAUUAAGAGCCAGAACGAGAAGGACAAGCUUUCUGAAGCUAAGCGGUUGACAUACUUGAAAGGGUUUACAGAUGGAACA
This 531-nucleotide long non-coding RNA is filed under the name Linum usitatissimum (flax). RNAcentral's name for it is "long non-coding RNA (LUSI_LNC005520)". The record is from RNAcentral. Lineage: Eukaryota; Viridiplantae; Streptophyta; Magnoliopsida; Malpighiales; Linaceae.